CAGGUGGCCUCCUGCUUGGGGUCUGUGGUCUGACGGGGUGCGCUGGGCGCGCUGUUAGUGGACUACACGGGGCGAGAGCGGGGCGGGAGACCUUGAAGACCCUCCCCAGGACCCCUGUGCGGUGGGUGUCCUGUGAGGUGCGCAGUCCUCCCCCGCAGGCGGCAGUUGGAUGCGGAUAAAUAUGAGAAUGAUCCAGAAUUAGAAAAGAUCCGAAAAGAGAGAAACUAUUCCUGGAUGGACAUAAUAACCAUAUGCAAGGAUAAACUACCAAAUUAUGAAGAAAAGAUGUACACGGGGCUUCUGACCUUCUGGUGUGAUCUUUGUGACGACCGUGUGUCGUGUGAGGCGCGAGACGACUGCAGUGCGGGUGAGGCCCGUGAGGCUGCCCUGCGCGGCAGGAAGGGAGCAGGAGUCCGGACGUGGUGGCGUGUUGACCGCGCAGCUCGGCUGCGUGCCGUUGGGCAGGUGCCCGGCCCGUGUGGGCCCCGCUCCCUCGAGGGU
RNAcentral lists this long non-coding RNA (501 nucleotides) under Ursus maritimus (polar bear). RNAcentral's name for it is "lncRNA (ENSUMAG00000003949.1)". Lineage: Eukaryota; Metazoa; Chordata; Mammalia; Carnivora; Ursidae. The record is from RNAcentral.